RNAcentral lists this ribosomal RNA (301 nucleotides) under uncultured bacterium. RNAcentral's name for it is "partial 16S ribosomal RNA". It matches the Rfam family "Bacterial small subunit ribosomal RNA", at positions 509 to 809 of the family's 1533-position model. The record is from RNAcentral.
CAGUCGCCGCGGGAAUACGAAGGGUGCAAGCGUUACUCGGAAUUACUGGGCGUAAAGCGUGCGUAGGUGGUGGUUUAAGUCGGAUGUGAAAUCCCUGAGCUUAACUUAGGAAUUGCAUUCGAUACUGGGAAGCUAGAGUAUGGGAGAGGAUGGUAGAAUUCCAGGUGUAGCGGUGAAAUGCGUAGAGAUCUGGAGGAAUACCGAUGGCGAAGGCAGCCAUCUGGCCUAAUACUGACGCUGAGGUACGAAAGCAUGGGGAGCAAACAGGAUUAGAUACCCCUGUAGUCCCUGUCUCUUAUAA